This is a long non-coding RNA of Anguilla rostrata (American eel), 275 nucleotides long. RefSeq lists it as uncharacterized. The record is from RefSeq and is a predicted model, not a curated record. NCBI's taxonomy places the organism in Eukaryota, Metazoa, Chordata, Actinopteri, Anguilliformes, Anguillidae. The transcript has 2 exons.
UUCUCCCAUCAGGGCUGGGGUCAAGAUCCAACUCUGCAAACAUCCUUCAUACCUUCUUUAGUUUGGGUGGGUAUACACUCAAAUCUGUUCACAAUGCAAUACAGUAGCUAUGUCUAGUUUUGGAGGUGUAGAUGGUACUAUUUCCCUAUGUUUAACUUUUUUCCAUUUCUGUACAGAGUAGGCACCUCAAAAAACUAUUUUCUGCUCUGCCCCUCUUCACUGACUGCAGCGUAUCUCUACAACAGUCAUAACUGAAGUGUGUAAACUGUAAAUGG